GGACAGCGGCGAAAGGGAGAGUAAUGAGUGGAUUACCUACCCCCAGGACCGGGAUAGCUGUGGGAAACCGCAGGUAAUACCGGAUAAUAUCUCCGGAUCAAAUGGUGAGAUUCCGCCAGGGGAUGGGUCCGCUUCCUAUUAGCUUGUUGGUGGGGUAACGGCCUACCAAGGCAACAAUGGGUACCGGGUGUGAGAGCAUGGCCCGGCUCACUGGGACUGAGACACUGCCCAGACACCUACGGGUGGCUGCAGUCGAGAAUCUUCCGCAAUGGGCGAAAGCCUGACGGAGCGACGCCGCGUGCGGGAUGAAGGCCUUCGGGUUGUAAACCGCUGUCAGUAGGGGGCAAAUCUCUUGGGGUUAUCCCCUUGAGUUGAGCGAUCGUCAGAGGAAGUACGGGCUAAGUUCGUGCCAGCAGCCGCGGUAAGACGAACCGUACGAACGUUAUUCGGAAUCACUGGGCUUAAAGAGUCCGUAGGCGGCCGUGUAGGUGGGAUGUGAAAGCCCUCGUCUCAACCGAGGAAUUGCGUUCCAAACCACAUGGCUUGAGGAGGAUAGAGGUGAGCGGAACUGAUGGUGGAGCGGUGAAAUGCGUUGAUAUCAUCAGGAACACCACAGGCGAAGGCGGCUCACUGGGUCCUUUCUGACGCUGAGGGACGAAAGCUAGGGGAGCAAACGGGAUUAGAUACCCCGGUAGUCCUAGCUGUAAACGAUGAGCACUAGAUCGAGGGGACUUCCACAUCUUCUCGGUCGUAGCGAAAGUGUUAAGUGCUCCGCCUGGGGAGUAUGGUCUCAAG
RNAcentral lists this ribosomal RNA (795 nucleotides) under uncultured bacterium. RNAcentral describes it as "bacterial SSU rRNA". It matches the Rfam family "Bacterial small subunit ribosomal RNA", at positions 90 to 892 of the family's 1533-position model. The record is from RNAcentral.